UGAGCCAAAGAUGACUUGCCU
RNAcentral lists this microRNA (21 nucleotides) under Cucumis melo (muskmelon). The record is from RNAcentral. Lineage: Eukaryota; Viridiplantae; Streptophyta; Magnoliopsida; Cucurbitales; Cucurbitaceae.